AACUCUAAGCGGUGGAUCACUCGGCUCAUGGGUCG
Molecule: ribosomal RNA, 35 nt
Filed under: Drosophila sechellia
Lineage: Eukaryota; Metazoa; Arthropoda; Insecta; Diptera; Drosophilidae
Description: 5.8S ribosomal RNA
Source: RNAcentral